GAUGAAGAUAUUUAGGGGCACACGGUGGAUGCCUUGGCAUGGGAAGCCGACGAAGGACGUGGCAAGCUGCGAAAAGCUGCGGAGAGGCGCAAACAGCCUUUGACCCGCAGAUGUCCGAUACGGGGAAACCUGACCUGGGUUAUGCCAGGUCGGCCCAUCCUGAAUCAAAUAGGGAUGGAUGCAGGUAACCCGGGGAACUGAAACAUCUCAGUACCCGGAGGAAGAGAAAUCAACCGAGAUUGCGCGAGUAGUGGCGAGCGAAAGCGCACAAAAGCCCAAACCGCAUGUGAGCGUUAUACCCUCGGGGGGAUGCCACAGCGGGGUUGUUGGGCAUAUGAGUCUUAAAGCCCGAGUCUUUAAGCGGAGUAUGUGUCAUCGUUAUAGCAAAACGGCAUGGGAAGGCCGGCCAAAGAGGGUGAAAGCCCCGUAUGCGAAAUAGCGAUGCACGCCGAGUCAUAUGACCCAGAGUAUCGCCGGGCACGUGAAACCCGGCGAGAAGCAGGGGGGACCACCCUCCAAGGCUCAAUACUCUCCCAUGACCGAUAGCGAAUUAGUACCGUGAGGGAAAGGUGAAAAGCACCCCGAGAGGGGAGUGAAAUAGUACCUGAAACCGUGUGCCCACAAGCAGUCGGAGCAGAGCAUUUUGCUCUGUGACGGCGUGCCUUUUGUAGAAUGAGCCAGCGAGUUGCCGUAAUGCGGCGAGGUUAAGCUUUAUAAGCGAGCCGCAGCGAAAGCGAGUCUUUAAACGGGCGCUUUUAGUCGUAUAUGGCAGACGCGAAGCCGGGUGAGCUAUCCAUGGGCAGGCUGAAGCGGGGGUAAGACCCCGUGGAGGGCCGAACCCACUUCGGUUGAAAACGGAGGGGAUGACCUGUGGAUAGGGGUGAAAGGCCAAUCAAACCCGGAGAUAUCUCGUUCUCCCCGAAAUAGCUUUAGGGCUAGCCUCGGGCAUUUCCCCGGCGCAGGUAGAGCACCGGAUCCCAAAGGGGGCUUCACCGCCUGCCGAUGGGAGCCGAACUCCGAAUGGUGUCGGGAUAAAAAGCCCGGGAGUCAGAGCGUGUGGGCUAAGCCGCACGCUCAAAAGGGAAACAGCCCAGACCGCCCGCUAAGGCCCCCAAGUCCAUGCUCAGUGGCAAAGGAUGUGCGCCUGCCUAGACAACCAGGAUGUUGGCUUAGAAGCAGCCAUGCAUUUAAAGAGUGCGUAACAGCUCACUGGUCAAGUGGACAUGCGCCGACAAUUCACGGGGCUCAAGCAUGGCGCCGAAGCGGCGGGCUUAAAGAGGUUUUCUUUAAGCGGUAGGGGAGCGUUGCCAACAGCGAUGAAGCGCAAGGGCGAUCUUGCGUGGAGUGUUAGGCAAGUGAGAAUGCUGGCAUGAGUAGCGACAAGCGGCGUGAGAAACGCCGCCGCCGUAAGCCUAAGGUUUCCUGGGGAAGGCUAAUCCCCCCAGGGUCAGUCGGGAGCUAAGGUGAGGCAGACAUGCGCAACCGAUGCACGACAGGUCGAUAUUCCUGUACCAUCUCGUGUCGUUUUAUCCAAUGAGGCGACGGAGGAGGAUAGGCGGGCGGGGUUCUGGACGUCCCCGUGAAAGCGUGUAGGGUGUUCUGGCAGGCAAAUCCGCGAGAACAUAUGCCUGAGACGCGAGACGAAGCCAUUUUGGCAAAGCCGCCAAGUCCAUGCUCCCAAGAAAAACCCCUAGGGAGACACGAGGUGCCCGUACCAAAACCGACACAGGUAGGCGGGUAGAGCAUACCGAGGCGAUCGGGAGAACCAUGGUUAAGGAACUCGGCAUACUAGCCCCGUAACUUCGGGAGAAGGGGCGCCUUUCCUCGUGAAGCUUUUCACAAGCCAAAGCGAGGGGAGGCCGCAGUGAAGAGGCCCAAGCGACUGUUUACCAAAAACACAGGACUCUGCCAAGCCGCAAGGCGAAGUAUAGGGUCUGACGCCUGCCCGGUGCCGGAAGGUCACGCGGAUGCGUUAGGGUGUAUACCCGAAGCGCUGAAGCUAAGCCCCGGUAAACGGCGGCCGUAACUAUAACGGUCCUAAGGUAGCGAAAUUCCUUGUCGGGUAAGUUCCGACCUGCACGAAUGGCGUAACGACUUGGGCGCUGUCUCAACCAUGGACCCGGUGAAAUUGCAUUAUUCGUGAAGAUGCGAAUUACCCGCGGAAGGACGGAAAGACCCCGUGAACCUUUACUGCAGCUUGGCAUUGGGCGCAGGCGCGGUGCGUAGAGGAUAGGCAGGAGGCUAUGAAACCUAGGCGCAAGCCUGGGUGGAGCCGACCUUGGAAUACUGCCCUCAUCGCGCCGGCGUCCUAACGCAGGCCCCUUUAACGGGUCGUGCGGACCGUGUCAGGUAGGCAGUUUGACUGGGGCGGUCACCUCCUAAAGAGUAACGGAGGUGCGCGUAAGGUCCGCUCAGGAUGGUUGGCAAUCAUCCUUUUGAGUGCAAGAGCAUAAGCGGGCUUGACUGCGAGGCCUACAAGCCGAGCAGGUGGGAAACCAGGUUCUAGUGAUCCGGCGGCACAGCGUGGAAUGGCCGUCGCUCAACGGAUAAAAGGUACUCCGGGGAUAACAGGCUGAUCUUGCCCAAGAGUCCACAUCGACGGCAAGGUUUGGCACCUCGAUGUCGGCUCAUCGCAUCCUGGGGCUGGAGUCGGUCCCAAGGGUAUGGCUGUUCGCCAUUUAAAGCGGUACGCGAGCUGGGUUCAGAACGUCGUGAGACAGUUCGGUCCCUAUCCUCCGCGGGCGCAAGAGGAUUGAGGAGAUCUGCCCCUAGUACGAGAGGACCGGGGUGGACGGACCUCCGGUGCAGCGGUUGUCGACCAACGGCACUGCCGCGUAGCCGCGUCCGGAACGGAUAACCGCUGAAAGCAUCUAAGCGGGAAGCCGUCUCCAAGAUGAGUCCUCUUUUUGGUAAGGGCACUGGUAGACUACCAGUUUGAUAGGCCGCAGCUGUACGCACAGCAAUGUGUUUUUAGGCAAGCGGUACUAAUAGCCCGAGCUCUUCAUCAU
This is a ribosomal RNA of Cryptobacterium curtum DSM 15641, 3008 nucleotides long. It matches the Rfam family "Bacterial large subunit ribosomal RNA". NCBI's taxonomy places the organism in Bacteria, Bacillati, Actinomycetota, Coriobacteriia, Eggerthellales, Eggerthellaceae. The record is from Rfam.